CAGUCGCCGCGGGAAUACGAAGGGGGCUAGCGUUGUUCGGAACUACUGGGCGUAAAGGGCGCGUAGGCGGCCGUUCAAGUUAGAUGUGAAAGCCCUGGGCUCAACCUAGGAAUUGCAUUUGAUACUGUUUGGCUUGAGUUCGGGAGAGGUGAGUGGAAUUCCCAGUGUAGAGGUGAAAUUCGUAGAUAUUGGGAAGAACACCAGUGGCGAAGGCGGCUCACUGGACCGACACUGACGCUGAGGCGCGAAAGCGUGGGGAGCAAACAGGAUUAGAUACCCGGGUAGUCCCUGUCUCUUAUAC
RNAcentral lists this ribosomal RNA (301 nucleotides) under uncultured bacterium. RNAcentral's name for it is "partial 16S ribosomal RNA". It matches the Rfam family "Bacterial small subunit ribosomal RNA", at positions 509 to 807 of the family's 1533-position model. The record is from RNAcentral.